ACGGGAGGCAGCAGUGGGGAAUAUUGCGCAAUGGGGGCAACCCUGACGCAGCAACGCCGCGUGAAGGAAGAAGGCCUUCGGGUUGUAAACUUCUGUCUUUAGGGAAGAAACAAAUGACGGUACCUAAGGAGGAAGCCACGGCUAACUACGUGCCAGCAGCCGCGGUAAUACGUAGGUGGCAAGCGUUGUCCGGAUUUACUGGGUGUAAAGGGCGCGUAGGCGGGCUUGCAAGUCAGUCGUGAAAUGCCGGGGCUUAACCCCGGAGCUGCGAUUGAAACUGUAAGUCUUGAGUGUCGGAGAGGAAAGCGGAAUUCCUAGUGUAGCGGUGAAAUGCGUAGAUAUUAGGAGGAACACCGGUGGCGAAGGCGGCUUUCUGGACGAUAACUGACGCUGAGGCGCGAAAGUGUGGGGAGCAAACAGGAUUAGAUACCCUGGUA
RNAcentral lists this ribosomal RNA (437 nucleotides) under uncultured Clostridium sp. Its description in RNAcentral is "partial 16S ribosomal RNA". It matches the Rfam family "Bacterial small subunit ribosomal RNA", at positions 341 to 792 of the family's 1533-position model. The record is from RNAcentral. Lineage: Bacteria; Bacillati; Bacillota; Clostridia; Eubacteriales; Clostridiaceae.